UCAUAAAAAGUAAAAUUUACAUUUAGUUUCGACCUAAAAAUUUGAUUAUAUUAUAAUCUUUAUGUU
RNAcentral lists this transfer RNA (66 nucleotides) under Auplopus sp. SJW-2017. RNAcentral's name for it is "tRNA-Arg". Lineage: Eukaryota; Metazoa; Arthropoda; Insecta; Hymenoptera; Pompilidae. The record is from RNAcentral.